AUUAAAAACCAAUGCCCUCCGGGGCUCACUGGUGAUUCAUAAUAACUUCUCGAAUCGCACGGCCUUGCGCCGGCGAUGGUUCAUUCAAAUUUCUGCCCUAUCAACUUUCGACGGCUGGGUCUUGGCCAGCCAUGGUCUCAACGGGUAACGGGGAAUUAGGGUUCUAUUCCGGAGAGGGAGCCUGAGAAACGGCUACCACAUCCAAGGAAGGCAGCAGGCGCGCAAAUUACCCAAUCCCGACACGGGGAGGUAGUGACAAUAAAUACUGAUACAGGGCUCUUUUGGGUCUUGUAAUUGGAAUGAGUACAAUUUAAAUCCCUUAACGAGGAACAAUUGGAGGGCAAGUCUGGUGCCAGCAGCCGCGGUAAUUCCAGCUCCAAUAGCGUAUAUUAAAGUUGUUGCAGUUAAAAAGCUCGUAGUUGAACCUUGGGCCUGGUUGGUCGGUCCGCCUCACCGCGUGCACUGAUCCGACCGGGCCUUUCCUUCUGGGGAGCCGCAUGCCCUUCACUGGGUGUGU
This 517-nucleotide ribosomal RNA is filed under the name uncultured fungus. RNAcentral describes it as "SSU rRNA". It matches the Rfam family "Eukaryotic small subunit ribosomal RNA", at positions 214 to 731 of the family's 1831-position model. The record is from RNAcentral. Lineage: Eukaryota; Fungi.